Molecule: ribosomal RNA, 581 nt
Filed under: uncultured bacterium
Lineage: Bacteria
Description: bacterial SSU rRNA
Rfam family: Bacterial small subunit ribosomal RNA
Source: RNAcentral
ACGGGUGAGUAAUGUCUGGGGAUCUGCCCGAUAGAGGGGGAUUACCACUGGAAACGGUGGCUAAUACCGCAUAACGUCGCAAGACCAAAGAGGGGGACCUUCGGGCCUCUCACUAUCGGAUGAACCCAGAUGGGAUUAGCUAGUAGGCGGGGUAAUGGCCCACCUAGGCGACGAUCCCUAGCUGGUCUGAGAGGAUGACCAGCCACACUGGAACUGAGACACGGUCCAGACUCCUACGGGAGGCAGCAGUGGGGAAUAUUGCACAAUGGGCGCAAGCCUGAUGCAGCCAUGCCGCGUGUAUGAAGAAGGCCUUCGGGUUGUAAAGUACUUUCAGCGGGGAGGAAGGCGGUGAGGUUAAUAACCUUGCCGAUUGACGUUACCCGCAGAAGAAGCACCGGCUAACUCCGUGCCAGCAGCCGCGGUAAUACGGAGGGUGCAAGCGUUAAUCGGAAUUACUGGGCGUAAAGCGCACGCAGGCGGUUUGUUAAGUCAGAUGUGAAAUCCCCGGGCUUAACCUGGGAACUGCAUUUGAAACUGGCAGGCUUGAGUCUCGUAGAGGGGGGUAGAAUUCCAGGUGUAGC